CAUCAGCUUAUUAUUAAGACUGGUUCGGAUAAAGUUUCUCUCUCUCUCUCUCUCUCUCUCUCUCUCUCUCUCUCUCUCUCUCUCUCUCUCUCUCUCUCUCUCUCUCUCAUUCCAGACGCAAUUUCGUUAGUUUUUAAUUCCUUCUCUUUCUUCUUUUAAUCCAACCGCUAUAAUAUGAUAUGAUUUUUUUUCCUUUUUUCCGUACUACUACUACUACUACUACUACUACUACUACUACUACUACUACUACUACUAGCAUCACCACCACUCCACACAGUAACAGAGAGAGAGAGAGAGAGAGUUCAUAGGAAGGGGGAAAAAAAAAAGGUAUUUCACGUAUCCCUCAGUAUUAUCUCAGCAGUCGUAGGGGAAGGACGUGCGCUCUCGCCUCCUCCGUUCCAACCACGCAUACCUAGUGGGCUUUUAAAUCUCCACACCAGUCUUACUAUUAAAAGUGGCAGUGGUGACUUAAGUGUCUUAUAAGUAGCCCAGUGUACUUAAAACCCGCGCCAGAUAAGUGCCCUAGAAAAAUUUUGGCUUAAAUUUCGGAAAAGUUUUGAAAAAUUUGUUGUUGUUGUUGUUGUUGUUGUUUGGAAGAAAGGAUUUUAUAACGUACAAGGAAGUGAGGCAGAUGGUGACUUGAAAGCAAUAGAAGCCAUAUCAAACACAUAUCAAAGGCAGUGGCAUUCAUGUGAUGGUCCAGGUCCAGAUUCCAUACAAGUUGAGCUGUGCUGGAUGGGCAUCUGCUCGUCAUGUCCCAGAGGUGUUCAUCGCCCACAUAGCAAGACUGCACAUGAACAAGCCCUCCAGACCCACCUGAGGCAUACAGCGUCACCCCAGUACAGCCCCAAGUUGGUCUGGCUAGCCCCAAUGACGAUGAAAGCAGGAAGCAUCAUUAUCACCUGCUGUGGAUGAUGAUGGUGGCUUCUACACACACA
Scylla paramamosain (green mud crab) is the source of this 938-nucleotide long non-coding RNA. RefSeq lists it as uncharacterized. NCBI's taxonomy places the organism in Eukaryota, Metazoa, Arthropoda, Malacostraca, Decapoda, Portunidae. The record is from RefSeq and is a predicted model, not a curated record. The transcript is spliced from 3 exons.